RNAcentral lists this ribosomal RNA (464 nucleotides) under uncultured bacterium. RNAcentral's name for it is "partial 16S ribosomal RNA". It matches the Rfam family "Bacterial small subunit ribosomal RNA", at positions 28 to 506 of the family's 1533-position model. The record is from RNAcentral.
GACGAACGCUGGCGGCGUGCUUAACACAUGCAAGUCGAACGGAAAGGCCCUGCUUGCAGGGUACUCGAGUGGCGAACGGGUGAGUAACACGUGGGUGAUCUGCCCUGCACUUCGGGAUAAGCUUGGGAAACUGGGUCUAAUACCGGAUAGGAACCAUCUUUAGUGUGGGGGUUGGAAAGUUUUUUCGGUGUAGGAUGAGCUCGCGGCCUAUCAGCUUGUUGGUGGGGUAAUGGCCUACCAAGGCGGCGACGGGUAGCCGGCCUGAGAGGGUGUACGGCCACAUUGGGACUGAGAUACGGCCCAGACUCCUACGGGAGGCAGCAGUGGGGAAUAUUGCACAAUGGGCGCAAGCCUGAUGCAGCGACGCCGCGUGGGGGAUGAAGGCCUUCGGGUUGUAAACUCCUUUCGCUAGGGACGAAGCUUUUUGUGACGGUACCUAGAUAAGAAGCACCGGCUAACUACGU